Stegodyphus mimosarum is the source of this 73-nucleotide non-coding RNA. The record is from Rfam. Lineage: Eukaryota; Metazoa; Arthropoda; Arachnida; Araneae; Eresidae.
GCCUUCGUGGUGUAAUGGUCAGAAGACUCGGCGCAUAAUCAAGAAGUCCGAGGUUCGAAUCCCGGUGAGGGCA